GACAGAGGGUGCAAACGUUGUUCGGAAUUACUGGGCGUAAAGCGUGUGUAGGUGGCUGCGAAAGUCGGAUGUGAAAGCCCUGGGCUCAACUCAGGAAGUGCACCCGAUACUGCGUAGCUCGAGUACCAGAGAGGUUGGUAGAAUUCUCGGUGUAGAGGUGAAAUUCGUAGAUAUCGAGAGGAAUACCUGUGGCGAAGGCGGCCAACUGGACGAGUACUGACACUGAGACACGAAAGCGUGGGGAGCAAACAGG
RNAcentral lists this ribosomal RNA (253 nucleotides) under uncultured bacterium. RNAcentral describes it as "partial 16S ribosomal RNA". It matches the Rfam family "Bacterial small subunit ribosomal RNA", at positions 524 to 776 of the family's 1533-position model. The record is from RNAcentral.